UAACACAAAACAAUAUUAUUUUAAUAUUUUAAUGUAGUUGUGGAAUUAUAAAGAGUUCAGUCAUCUUUUACAAUCUACUGACAAAUCUCAAAAGACAAAUCUUCACUUAGUGAAGUCCUUGGGACCACUGUGGUCUGCUGCGCGGGAACUGACACUACUUUUCACAGGUGCUGUCUAAGCCUUGAUCCUCUGUCGGAGAGAAGAAAAUAAUGAAGACAUAAAGAUGUUAUCAUUAUCUUAGAUAACAAAAUAUAUGCAUUGAGUUUCAGCAGUUGACUAGUUAAUGGUGUAUCAUUGGUAAACACCAAACUGAAUAAUCUUAAUGACAACCACCACUGGGUUACAGAUCACUGAAGCCUGAGCCAGGAUCCAUCCUAUUCCAAUUGUCCAUUCUGGAUAUUCCUAGACCCAAUUAUAAAUCAGCUGCUUGUAUUGGACCAGGAUGAAAAAGAAACAACCCUUUGGAUAAAAAGAAAACAUUUAAAAAGGAAGUAAUUCACAUGUAACUUGGAUAGUCACUGUACCAUCAUAAGUAUAUCAUCACUCUUGUGUCCUGUUAGAAAAAAAGAGUAAAAUAAUUGUCAAAACAUCAACAUCAAGUUUCAUGUAGAAGAGAAAAUGAAAAGAAAGAAAAUGAAAAGAGUGAAGACAAACCACAGAUGUAAUGAAAAUGUCUUUGAACAUCCGUGGCAUCCUACAAUAUUUUCUGCUCUGUACCAUAGUUGAAGAUCAAUCUAGCGAGGAAGAGAAUGACCUGUUUAAUUCCGGCAUCCCUCGGUUUAUUUUAUGUUAUUUCAUUUUAUUUAUUUAUUUAUUUUGCGGCGUUGUUCGGUGACUUCAGACCGGAAGUCCGGGUACAUGCUGAUUCAGACACCGUUGAAGUUCACGGGAGCCUGCAGACAAGCGAGUUUCAAGAUGGUUUUCCUUCCGGAGUACGGUGAAUGGCGAUCAUGGUCUGUGGACGUCUAGAUGAGGACGAUGGACCGAUGCGGUGCACCCGAUCAACUUUGAAGCUAUUGGACCAGAAAGCUCCAGGAGAAACUCUAUGACAAACUGCGUUGGAUUCCUUCUCUCAACCUUUUCUGCCCCACGGACCAUGGUCCUCUGUGUCCCAGCUACAUGACUGCCCCCUGCUCCUGUAAACUACGCCACCGCACAGACGCUGGAGCGGCACCGAGUUCACCUGGAUGACUGUGGACACAGAGGCUGCUCUACACUGACAGAGGUCUGGAGGAAGAAUGCCGUUAGGACACCUCCUCGUCCUGAGUGAAUCUGAUGGACGUGUAGUCCACGAGCAUCCUCUCACCUGCACCACCUUCCCCUGUGGACUCUCUGAGAAGACCAGGACCUGGUUGUAGAGAGGAUCCAGGCUCUUCCUCACUGACUUCGUCUUCUUCUUGGCAACACAGAUGCCGUUUUCCAGGAGGUAAACUUUGAUGUAGGCUGCUGUAAACACAAUGAGGAGAAAGGAGGAGGAGCUGAUGAGAAAACAAGAUCCCAGUGAAGGAGAGAAGAUGGGAGGAGACACUGGUGCCAGAGGUGAUGCUGUGCAAGUCUCGUUUCCAGACUAAGUCAACGCUUCUCAUUUCUGUUGCCUGCCGUUGUCAUUUCCUCGUGCUGU
Cynoglossus semilaevis (tongue sole) is the source of this 1621-nucleotide long non-coding RNA. RefSeq lists it as uncharacterized. The transcript has 5 exons. The record is from RefSeq and is a predicted model, not a curated record. NCBI's taxonomy places the organism in Eukaryota, Metazoa, Chordata, Actinopteri, Pleuronectiformes, Cynoglossidae.